UGCCAGCAGCCGCGGUAAAACGAAGAGGGCGAGCGUUUUCCACAAGGACUGGGCGUAAAGCGUGUGUAGGCUGCGCGGAAAGUCAAAUGUGAAAGCCCGGGGCUCAACCUCGGAACUGCAUUCGAUACUCCCGUGCUAGAGUAAUGGAGAGGUAAGUGGAAUUCCUGGUGUAGCAGUGAAAUGCGUGGAUAUCAGGAGGAACAUCAAUGGCGAAGGCAACUUACUGGACAUUUACUGACGCUCAGACACGAAGGCUAGGGUAGCGAAAGGGAUUAGAUA
Molecule: ribosomal RNA, 279 nt
Filed under: uncultured bacterium
Lineage: Bacteria
Description: partial 16S ribosomal RNA
Rfam family: Bacterial small subunit ribosomal RNA
Source: RNAcentral